Molecule: ribosomal RNA, 434 nt
Filed under: uncultured Clostridium sp.
Lineage: Bacteria; Bacillati; Bacillota; Clostridia; Eubacteriales; Clostridiaceae
Also listed under: 2 other names
Description: partial 16S ribosomal RNA
Rfam family: Bacterial small subunit ribosomal RNA
Source: RNAcentral
ACGGGAGGCAGCAGUGGGGGAUAUUGCACAAUGGGGGAAACCCUGAUGCAGCGACGCCGCGUGAGUGAAGAAGUAUUUCGGUAUGUAAAGCUCUAUCAGCAGGGAAGAUAAUGACGGUACCUGACUAAGAAGCCCCGGCUAACUACGUGCCAGCAGCCGCGGUAAUACGUAGGGGGCAAGCGUUAUCCGGAUUUACUGGGUGUAAAGGGAGCGCAGACGGUUUUGCAAGUCAGAAGUGAAAUACCCGGGCCCAACCCGGGAACUGCUUUUGAAACUGUAGGACUUGAGUGCCGGAGAGGUAAGCGGAAUUCCUAGUGUAGCGGUGAAAUGCGUAGAUAUUAGGAGGAACACCAGUGGCGAAGGCGGCUUACUGGCCGGUAACUGACGUUGAGGCUCGAAAGCGUGGGUAGCAAACAGGAUUAGAUACCCUGGUA